UGGAGUUUAGUCCUAACUAAUGAGUUC
Molecule: non-coding RNA, 27 nt
Filed under: Mus musculus (house mouse)
Lineage: Eukaryota; Metazoa; Chordata; Mammalia; Rodentia; Muridae
Source: RNAcentral